This 594-nucleotide ribosomal RNA is filed under the name uncultured bacterium. RNAcentral describes it as "bacterial SSU rRNA". It matches the Rfam family "Bacterial small subunit ribosomal RNA", at positions 57 to 650 of the family's 1533-position model. The record is from RNAcentral.
GCAGUCGAGCGGACCCUUCGGGGUCAGCGGCGGACGGGUGAGUAACACGUGGGCAACCUGCCGAGCAGACCGGAAUAACGCCUGGAAACGGGUGCUAAUGCCGGAUAGGCAGCGAGGAGGCAUCUCCUUGCUGGGAAAGGUGCAACUGCACCGCUGUUCGAGGAGCCCGCGGCGCAUUAGCUAGUUGGUGGGGUAACGGCCUACCAAGGCGACGAUGCGUAGCCGACCUGAGAGGGUGACCGGCCACACUGGGACUGAGACACGGCCCAGACUCCUACGGGAGGCAGCAGUAGGGAAUCUUCGGCAAUGGGCGCAAGCCUGACCGAGCAACGCCGCGUGAGCGAAGAAGGCCUUCGGGUUGUAAAGCUCAGUCACUCGGGAAGAGCGACCUAAGGAGUGGAAAGCCUUAGGGGAGACGGUACCGAGGGAGGAAGCCCCGGCAAACUACGUGCCAGCAGCCGCGGUAAUACGUAGGGGGCAAGCGUUGUCCGGAAUCACUGGGCGUAAAGCGUGCGUAGGCGGUUUGUUAAGUCUGAAGUGAAAGGCCAUGGCUCAACCAUGGGAAUGCUUAGGAAACUGGCAGACUUGAGUACU